Tribolium castaneum (red flour beetle) is the source of this 962-nucleotide long non-coding RNA. RefSeq lists it as uncharacterized. Lineage: Eukaryota; Metazoa; Arthropoda; Insecta; Coleoptera; Tenebrionidae. The record is from RefSeq and is a predicted model, not a curated record. The transcript is spliced from 3 exons.
UCAGUUCUGUAGAUUAGACGUGCAGUUUCUUUGUGUCUAUUGUGGUGCCAAUAGCAUGCUUUUGGCAUAUGAGUUGUCAUUGCAUAACAGCUUAGUUAUUUGCACCAUAAUAGUUUUUUAAAUAAAAAACAGUUUAAUAGUUAGUUAUAUUUUAUCAAAACAAUAGAGCAACUAUAGUUAUUAAUUUUAAAAUAUAAAAUUUAGUUACAAAAUGUUCUCUUAAAAACGUAUAGAAGGGUGCAUUUCAAACCUUUUCUCCAAUUUUUAUUUUUGAAGUCGUUAUUGUUAUGAGUUAAUUUGUAUUUAUUAUACUGUGACUACAUUCCUUUCUGGUUUCUCUACUGACCGAAUGCGAUGGAAUACGUUAAUAUGAUUUUACAAGUUGGACAAAAAGUAGCGUCUGAAUGUCAACAACCCACAGUUCUUCAACUUGUCAACAAAUCCCGCUGCGAUAUAAUUGACGCUACCAUGUCUUCAAUGGAUAAGUUUGACUGGUUAAUGGCUGGUCCCCUUUUCGACAGAGAACAUAUUUCUUCUAAUUCCUCACAAGAAAGAAACGCAUCUUUAAAUAAAAUGGCCACCCAUUGCCCUUUUGAAAUGACAUUAAUUUUUAGUGAUGGAACUGUGGAUAAAUUCAGGAUGCAUCAGAAAUUUCCCUUUGAUGGGUGUUCGGGUUUUCAACACUUUAUCGGCCCACAUACUAUCACCUUCUCAAGUUCAGAGAAUAAAGUGAUUAUAACAGUUGAGGAUAAAUAGUGUUUUGUUUAUAUUUUUAAUAAAAAAUAAGCGUUUAUAACAAAUCAUAUUAUUGUGCACUAUUUUUAUACAGGCUGACCCAGGGGUGCGUGCAUACUCCACAACUUUUUUUCUAUGUAAGCUAUCAAUUUGAAUUUUUUUAAACGAUAGGGCUGACAAUAAGGCACAUUCUAAAAAUGUUUUAGUUUUUACAUAGAGUGUUUCAA